AUUGAACGCUGGCGGCAUGCCUUACACAUGCAAGUCGAACGGCAGCACGGGUGCUUGCACCUGGUGGCGAGUGGCGAACGGGUGAGUAAAGUAUCGGAACGUGCCCUUAAGUGGGGGAUAACUACCCGAAAGGGUGGCUAAUACCGCAUAUUCUGUGAGCAGGAAAGCGGGGGAUCGCAAGACCUCGCGCUGAAGGAGCGGCCGAUAUCAGAUUAGCUAGUCGGUGGGGUAAAGGCCUACCAAGGCCACGAUCUGUAGCGGGUCUGAGAGGAGGAUCCGCGACACUGGGACUGAGACACGGCCCAGACUCCUACGGGGGGCAGCAGUGGGGAAUUUUGGACAAUGGGGGCAACCCUGAUCCAGCCAUGCCGCGUGAGUGAAGGAGGCCUUCGGGUUGUAAAGCUCUUUCGGCCGGGAAGAAAUCGCAUGGGUUAACACCCUGUGUGGAUGACGGUACCGGAAUAAGAAGCACCGGCUAACUACGUGCCAGCCGCCGCCGUAA
RNAcentral lists this ribosomal RNA (502 nucleotides) under uncultured bacterium. RNAcentral's name for it is "partial 16S ribosomal RNA". It matches the Rfam family "Bacterial small subunit ribosomal RNA", at positions 29 to 523 of the family's 1533-position model. The record is from RNAcentral.